RNAcentral lists this ribosomal RNA (421 nucleotides) under uncultured bacterium. RNAcentral describes it as "bacterial SSU rRNA". It matches the Rfam family "Bacterial small subunit ribosomal RNA", at positions 354 to 774 of the family's 1533-position model. The record is from RNAcentral.
GUAAGGAAUAUUGCUCAAUGGGAGAAAUCCUGAAGCAGCAACGCCGCGUGGAGGAUGAAGGGUCUAUGACUUGUAAACUCCUGUAAAGAAGGAAAAAAUUCCCAUUAGAUGGGAGAUGAUGGUACUUCUGGAGUAAGCCCCGGCUAACUACGUGCCAGCAGCCGCGGUAAUACGUAGGGGGCAAGCGUUGUCCGGAUUUACUGGGUGUAAAGGGUGCUCAGGCGGAUUUGUAAGUCAGAGGUGAAAUCUUACAGCUUAACUGUGAAACUGCCUUUGAUACUGCAAGCCUAGAGUAUGGAAGAGAGUGAUAAAAUAUCUGGUGUAGCAGUGAAAUGCGUAGAUAUCAGAUAGAACACCAAUGGCGAAGGCAGUCACUUGGUCCAUUACUGACGCUAAAGCACGAAAGCGUGGGUAGCAAACA